GGGAGGCAAAACUGGGAGUCAAGUGAGAUGCCACUCAGGACAUGGAGUGUCCCAUCCAUAUGCAAUGUGUCUGGUGAUCCUAUGCAGAAUACUAGGGACUUUUCUCCAUGUCCUGGAUAAAAGAGAAAGGAGAGCAAGGCAAGGGUACUGAACAGGAGCAGAGUGCUCAGGGGGAGCAGAGGAGUACUGAGAGGCAUCAUCUGCUCACUGGCAGCACUGCAAUGAAAGAGCGUGUGAGGAAAACCAACUCUUCAGUCAUAUUUCCUAAUCUGGAGGGACAGCUUUAGAAGAACCCUUGAGAAGUUGCAAAGCCAAACAUUUGAGGUUUCAGCAAUGGUUUGGUAGCACAAGGAUGGCAGUUCUCAGCCAGACAAAGUUGACCCUCGCACAACUCCAAGCAUCAUCAGUGUACUUUGAAAGUGAAACUGCAGAAGGGCUCAUCCUGUAAGCACUGCUUAUCCAUUCAGGUUAUAUCCAUUAUUAACCUGCAGCUUAUGUCUUUUUAGCUCAAAGCUAGAAUUAACAUGUCCAAGGAGUCUUCAUGGAAUUGCUUUCAU
This is a long non-coding RNA of Anas platyrhynchos (mallard), 557 nucleotides long. RefSeq lists it as uncharacterized. The record is from RefSeq and is a predicted model, not a curated record. NCBI's taxonomy places the organism in Eukaryota, Metazoa, Chordata, Aves, Anseriformes, Anatidae.